ACGAACGCUGGCGGCGUGCUUAACCCCUGCAAGUCGUACGGUAAGGCCCUUUCGGGGGUCCACGAGUGGCGAACGGGUGAGUAACACGUGAGUAACCUGCCCACAACUUUGGGAUAACGCUAGGAAACUGGUGCUAAUACUGGAUAUGUGCUCCUGCUGCAUGGUGGGGGUUGGAAAGCUCCGGCGGUUGUGGAUGGACUCGCGGCCUAUCAGCUUGUUGGUGGGGUAGUGGCCUACCAAGGCGGCGACGGGUAGCCGGCCUGAGAGGGUGACCGGCCACAUUGGGACUGAGAUACGGCCCAGACUCCUACGGGAGGCAGCAGUGGGGAAUAUUGCACAAUGGGCGCAAGCCUGAUGCAGCAACGCCGCGGGCGGGAUGACGGCCUUCGGGUUGUAAACCGCUUUCAGCAGGGACGAAGCUUUUUGUGACGGUACCUGCAGAAGAAGCACCGGCUAACUACGUG
RNAcentral lists this ribosomal RNA (464 nucleotides) under uncultured bacterium. RNAcentral describes it as "partial 16S ribosomal RNA". It matches the Rfam family "Bacterial small subunit ribosomal RNA", at positions 29 to 507 of the family's 1533-position model. The record is from RNAcentral.